Molecule: ribosomal RNA, 530 nt
Filed under: uncultured Enterobacter sp.
Lineage: Bacteria; Pseudomonadati; Pseudomonadota; Gammaproteobacteria; Enterobacterales; Enterobacteriaceae
Description: bacterial SSU rRNA
Rfam family: Bacterial small subunit ribosomal RNA
Source: RNAcentral
AGAGUUUGAUCCUGGCUCAGAUUGAACGCUGGCGGCAGGCCUAACACAUGCAAGUCGAAUGGUAACAGGAAACAGCUUGCUGUUUCGCUGACGAGUGGCAGACGGGUGAGUAAUGUCUGGGAAACUGCCUGAUGGAGGGGGAUAACUACUGGAAACGGUAGCUAAUACCGCAUAACGUCGCAAGACCAAAGAGGGGGACCUUCGGGCCUCUUGCCAUCAGAUGUGCCCAGAUGGGAUUAGCUAGUAGGUGGGGUAACGGCUCACCUAGGCGACGAUCCCUAGCUGGUCUGAGAGGAUGACCAGCCACACUGGAACUGAGACACGGUCCAGACUCCUACGGGAGGCAGCAGUGGGGAAUAUUGCACAAUGGGCGCAAGCCUGAUGCAGCCAUGCCGCGUGUAUGAAGAAGGCCUUCGGGUUGUAAAGUACUUUCAGCGGGGAGGAAGGGAGUAAAGUUAAUACCUUUGCUCAUUGACGUUACCCGCAGAAGAAGCACCGGCUAACUCCGUGCCAGCAGCCGCGGUAAUACA